RNAcentral lists this long non-coding RNA (1063 nucleotides) under Chrysolophus pictus (golden pheasant). Its description in RNAcentral is "lncRNA (ENSCPIG00010012943.1)". The record is from RNAcentral. Lineage: Eukaryota; Metazoa; Chordata; Aves; Galliformes; Phasianidae.
UUGUUGGAUUAACAGAAUAAAGAAUUUUUUGGAGUAGGUUAUUCUGUAACUUUUGUGUGGGUAGAUCCAGUUUCUUUUAAAUAACUUUAUGCAUAAAUCAGGGAACUGUAUACCUUAAUCCAGAGGGAUGCCGUGAGGAAUCUCACCUCACAGAAGUGGAAAUGAGUGGCUUGGAGAGGACUGUUGGGUUUGUGGUGUCCCUCCUGAUUAUGCUGGUGGCUGUAUUAAAGCACAGAUUGUAACAGUGAAGUCUGUUAACUGGCUUUGUAAAGUCCCACUUUGUUGUCCUAGUGGGACAACAAAGACGUUCUAGAAUUCAGUGCAGUCUUUCAGGAGUUAUUUCAGUGUAUUAUAGGUAGGAGAAAGCUAGAGAGAUCCACUUGUAAGGAACAAAUGGUCGUGUGGGAAGGUUUGCUCCCCACAAGGCAGAGCUCACAGGGCCCUGAAAACACAGAGGUGUGACAGGAGACAGGUGAUGCUUUAAGUGAGCCCUGCUGAAGAGGACUUCAUCUCUGCUGAAAUCUUUCCCCCAGUGUAGCAGUAUGGAGGUGUGUGGUGUAAGCGUAGCAUUUCUCUCUGCCCUCCCUCCUCGGGAAGUCCUGAGACAGUGCCAGGAUGGCAUGAGGUCACCUCACCCAGUUGCUCCAAGCUGUGUUUGCGGAACCACCAGUGCUACAUCCCGAUAGGAAGCCUGGAGGAUGUCAGUAAUUUUUCUUGACUUGGAGGAACGCUUUGAGGGAAGCCCGAGUGUUUCAUGCACAGGCCAAUCCCACGACCCCUGAGGAUGUCGGCACCGAUGGGAAUGCAUUGCAGCCCUCCCCAGCUGCAGUCCCCACAGGAGCACUCCCUGUGCACCUCAGAGGGUACAGGUGUGACCUUGCCCAUGAGAACUGGACCAGCACAUGGAUCCAUAGGCUGUGAGUUGCCACUGGGGACUGGAAGUACCACAACACAGAGAGAACAGGUAAUUUCAGUGUAAGAGUUAUGCAAAAAAACUGGGGGAAAGCAGUGUUUGUUUGAGAUUGAUCAGAACCAUCUUUUAUUUCAGUGUUUUCUGGAAGAG